Molecule: long non-coding RNA, 298 nt
Organism: Dermacentor silvarum
Lineage: Eukaryota; Metazoa; Arthropoda; Arachnida; Ixodida; Ixodidae
Exons: 3
Source: RefSeq, a predicted model, not a curated record
CAGAGUAUCAUCCUAAGCUAAACUACACAGUUUACCGGCCAAGAUGUGACGGUGGGAAAUCUGGAACAUGUAUUUACCCUCUGCUGUGUAAUUGUCCUAAGCCAAAAUAUAAUGGAUACAUCCGCUUAGCCGAAGGCGAGUAUCGUUGGUUCUACAAUAACGUAACAAGGACGUGCGAGGAAACCAAAGGAGACCCUGCCGGCUGCAACAACUUUGACAGCAAAGAAAAGUGUCACAUGCAUUGUUCGAAAUUUGGGACACCGUGGAGAACAAGAACUAAUAAACAAGCGUAAAUUGA